GGGCGGGGGAUCGGGGCAGCAGGGCCGGGCCCAGCUGGAUGAGGGGCGCCCAGUCCCGAGCUGAGGCUGGGGCGGGGGGCGUCGCCGGUGGGUGGGCCCCUCGGCGGGACGCGGAGCGCGGGGGCAGGGUUACGGCGGGCCGGGCUUUAGUCCCGCCCCUGGAGCUGCGGGAGGGGCGCCCGAGCCUGGCGGCGGGCAGGGCCCCACAGCCUCUCCCGCUGGCCGGCUUCGUCCUGAGGUCCUUUCUCCCGGCGGCCGGGCUCCGGCUGCGCCCCAUCCCCGACAUGCCGCCCGCGGGGCUCCGCCCGGCCGCACCGCUCGCCGCGAUCGCCCUGUUGGUGCUGGGGGCUCCCCUGGCGCUGGCCGGCGAGGACUGCCUGUGGUACCUGGACCGGAAUGGCUCCUGGCACCCGGGCUUCGACUGUCAGUUCUUCACCUUCUGCUGCGGGACCUGCUACCAGCGGUACUGCUGCCGGGACCUGACCUUGCUCAUCACCGAGCGGCAGCAGAAACACUGCCUGGCGUUCAGUCCCAAGACCAUAGCAGGCAUCGCGUCAGCUGUGAUCCUCUUUGUGGCUGUGGUUGCCACCACCAUCUGCUGCUUCCUCUGUUCCUGCUGCUACCUGUACCGCCGGCGCCAGCAGCUGCAGAGCCCCUUUGAAGGCCAGGAGAUUCCAAUGACAGGCAUCCCAGUGCAGCCAGUAUACCCAUACCCCCAGGACCCCAAAGCUGGCCCUGCACCCCCCCAGCCUGGCUUCAUGUACCCACCUACCGGUCCUGCUCCUCAGUAUCCACUCUACCCAGCUGGUCCUCCUAUCUACAACCCUGCGGCUCCUCCCCCCUACAUGACAGCCCAGCCCUCCUAUCCUGGAGCCUGAGGAACCAGCCAAGUCUGCUGCCCCUUCAGUGAUGCCCCCACCUGUUCCUGCAUCUGGUCCUCGGGUGGACAGGGGUCCUCUACUUGCCAGGCCCCAGACCAGGCGAAGCCCUGGACCCUCCUAGGAAGGGCCCGGUUCAAUGGAACAGGAACAGAGUGGGAACUUGGCCAUAAUGAGGGGUGGGAGGGGAGGGCUUGGGAUUUGUGGACUCUUUUUCUUGGGGGGCAAGGGAAGGACAUGAAAGUCUGGGUCCCAGCUCCUGCUUUCAAAUAGUCCCUCUUCUCCCAGGACCCCAGCAGGGAAGGCCGGGCCCCUCCUGUUUGCCCCCCGGUGGGCUGGGAUGAUACUGGGAGAGGCUCCAUCAGCUGAAGCCCUCCUCCUGGUCGCCCCACAGCCAGGGCAUUGGCCUGCUGGAUUAAAGCGGUAAAGCUGUAACCCAUGUGAGUUGCAUCAUUGAGCCCAUCCACCCCUUCAGAUAGCGCAGCCUCUGCUGCGUCCAGACAACUACUGGCUGCACACCCCCAAGGGCAGGCCCCAGGGUGGGAGCAGCACCCCCUCACCAUCCAUGCAGAGGAGCCACAAGCUGAGGGCUCCCUGGGCUGAUUCCUAAGGCUAACCUGCUGGGUUUUGCCACAACUGGGAAAAGGAUGGUCAUUUGCAUUAUAGAGGUUCCCACAAGGGGGCAGGCCUCUGCCUUUUGUGGCAUUGCUGGCCACACAUGGGCGUCGGCCAGUCAGGCACACUUCUGUUCACGCCAGGGCCCUACAACUGUCUGACUCAGGAUGUGUCUCAGGCGGGCUCCAAGACCCAGUCUCUUCUUCCACACAACCGGGUGAUUUCUCAGGGCUGUCAUGAGGGUGCGACAUGCACAUGAAACCUUCCUGACCCUAGUCUCCCACUAGGAGCCAAGCGGAAAAACUGGCUGCUCAAAGACUGUGUCUGCUGCCUUGGGUCAACAGGGACCCUGAGACAUUGAAUCUGGGGCCCACAGGGAUGAACUGAAUUUGUGGUCAACUGGGGAUGGCACGGCAGGGAACCUGAGCUUCUAGAGUCCUCCAGGGAGCCCAGUGAGCAGUGGACACAGUCGUUCUCAGCUAAAGGCUUGUAUAUAUUAUCAAAAUCUUAUGGAAAAACAGAUACACGGCUAUUUAUACAACAGCAGGUGGGUGUGAGCAAAAUGUCUGCUUUGGCAUCCAACCUUCAAGCCCCGCUGUUGUCUGUCCCUCUCCUCCCGUGCCCCACCCACCCGGCACUGUCCAUGUGGGCCAGCUGCCCCUGCCAUGCCCUCUGACGAGCCCAGGGUGGGUGAGGGGUAUUCCACGGGCCCUCGUGCCCUCUCAGCAUUCUGCCAUUACCCCACACAGAGUGCCACCAGCCCAACAGCAUGGCCCCAAGGGCUCCUCAGAGGCCUGGAUCCUGGCCCAGGGCAGCAGGGCUGGGGCGGUGAUGUGAUCCCCAUGGGACAUCUUUCCCGGAUCAUAGGCCUUUGGCAGUUGGCCGGCUACACAGAUCCUAGGCAUGCCAUCUUCUCAGCAACGUGCUAGAAGGACUCUUCUUGUCUGGAAACCUCGGCUCCAGAUAAAAAGAAACUUUCGGAGAGCCUCAGAGAGACAAGAAAAGGAAAGUGAGAAGAACUAAGGCAUGGCCCAGGCCUCAAGCUUCCUUGAGCGUGGUCCUUCCUUGAGCGUGGCCCAGGCCUCAAGCUCUCCUGUGGCAGAACAGGGACAUCCACAGCAGGUCAGCCGGGGGUGGGGGGCGAGGCCUGGGCAGACAUGACAUUGGCAGCCGCCUGGCAGCCCGGUCCUACUGGAGCAGCUUGGGUACUUCCACCUGUAGGAGCAAAGCAGACAGCUUUGAGAAGAGAGUUUGGCAAGGCCCCCAUCUGCAAUUCACCUCACCUCCUUCUUUCUGGACCACCUGGACACCAGACACCUCAGCCUAUGUCUGUGGAGUGGAUAAAUGAGGGGUUAACACAACGGGAACAUUUUUCCUUUUCUUUAGAAACUGGAUGUCAUUGAGUGGCCACUGGAAUUACAACUAAGAUUGCCCUUUAGCUCACGCUGUCUAGUCCAAGUGGCUAUUGUGAGGGGAUUAAUUGCCACCAUCUUGUCAGACAGAGAGCUGAGCCUGGACUCUGGCACCCAGAGAGGUAGGGCUUUGAGAAACAGGAUCUCAAGGGCAGCCUCUCGGAGGGCUGGAUCUCCCAGACCUCUGGAAUAGGUUGACCCGUAGGACUUGGCUGGUCCUGAGAGGGAAUUCGUCAAGUUGAGACCAUUUUGUAUGGAGAGUGAGUGAGAAAAGACAGGGAAAGGUGUCAGGCAAAAAUGCUACAAAUAGCUCUUCCUCCAUUUCUAGGAGACAGGGCAGAGACAUGAGAAGCAUUGCACAAGAGGUUACACUAGAGGGAAGCGUCUCAGGGAGGCGGAGCUGUGGCCUGUGUGUAGCCUGAAGCCUAACACAGCUCUGCUGCUCGGUUCCUUUUUUUUUUUUUAAAGAUUUAUUUAUUUAUGCAUACAAGAGCUGGGGUACAGGCCAGAGGCACGGUGGCGGG
Molecule: RNA transcript, 3429 nt
Organism: Talpa occidentalis (Iberian mole)
Lineage: Eukaryota; Metazoa; Chordata; Mammalia; Eulipotyphla; Talpidae
Gene: SHISA4
Gene name: shisa family member 4
Exons: 6
Source: RefSeq, a predicted model, not a curated record